AGGGGGCGUGGGGAAGUCUGCAGCCGAGAGUCCAGAGAGGAGGAAGCUCCUGCCGGCUGAGCGGGCCUGGAGGAAGUGAGCAGCGGGGCUCCUGCCUCCCGGCCUGGUCCCCGAAGACCCCAGAAGAACCCGGAACUUGCUUCCAUUCGGAAUCCAGGGACCACCCUUUGCACUCAGUAGGCCUUUGUUUUCCUGCGUGGAAAGCGGUUGGGCUUGGGAGGCGAUGGAGCCGGAGUUCUUGUACGACCUGCUGCAGCUCCCCAAGGGGGUGGAGCCCCCAGCGGAGGAGGAGCUCUCAAAAGGAGGAAAGAAGAAAUACCUGCCACCCACUUCCCGGAAGGACCCCAAAUUUGAAGAACUGCAGAAGCACACCUGGCCCAGCCCUGUGACUGGCACUGGGGACACCAUCUGUGGUCUUGCCCGGAAGACCUGGUGAGGUGCUGACAUGUCGUCUCAGCUCGGUCUCCUCCACAGGCUGAUCCAGAGACAAGGAUUUGGAUGCCAGUAGUUGAGUUGGGAGGUUAUCCCAGGGGUCAUGGGAGGGAAGGGGCCAACACAUGGUUAGUGAUGGAGCUGGUCAUGGUUCUGGGGGCUCAAGCCUGCUGGGUACCCUGGAGCCAGCAUAGAGCAAGUUCAGUGCAUUCCUGCCCAAGGGGCGAUGGAGCUGGGGUAUUUAUACACCACCACCCCUGCCCCGACAACCUCCUGACAACCUUUAGUGAACAGCUGCUCCCUGAGAAAGGGCUGGGCCUUGAUUCCCUGGCACUCUGACCUUUUGAGCACAGCAGAGUGGGGACAGUUUCGAGCAGAGCUGCAGGUGGGAGCUGGGCCAGUAGGCAACAGUCAAGGAGUGGGCAGGGUACCAGCAGCCCCCGCAUUAGCUUCCUAGGGCUACUGUAACAUGUGACCACAGACUGAAUGGCUUAAACCACAGAAACCUACUGUCUUACAGUGCUGCAGGCCAGAGGCCCUCAACCAAGGGGUCGGCAGGCUUGGCUCCUUCUGGAGGCUCUCAGGGGACCCCUGUCUUCUCCCUUUCCCCCAGCUGUGAUGGCUGCAGCAUCCUGGUCUCCCAGAUCUGUGGAUGCAUCACUGCAGUCCCCACCUCCAUCUUCACGUCCAAUGUCAUGUCCCUCAUUUCCUCCUAGGACCUCAGAA
This 1158-nucleotide long non-coding RNA is filed under the name Homo sapiens (human). RNAcentral's name for it is "long non-coding RNA NONHSAT192460.1". Lineage: Eukaryota; Metazoa; Chordata; Mammalia; Primates; Hominidae. The record is from RNAcentral.